Molecule: long non-coding RNA, 760 nt
Organism: Zonotrichia albicollis (white-throated sparrow)
Lineage: Eukaryota; Metazoa; Chordata; Aves; Passeriformes; Passerellidae
Source: Ensembl
CAGGAUUCUCUCUGAUGGCUAUCCCUGAAGCAGAGCAAAGCUUCAGCAAAUAGCAAAUGACAUCAAUUCUGCAGUCCAAGGAGUCAAAGGCAUGCAGUACAAAAGGGCAGCUUCCUGUAUGAUAGUGACAUUUUGGUAUUCAACAGUGGGAAAAUGGCUUUGGCUACAGGAGCUGGUAAAUGUUUUGGAUCAGUAAAGCCAACAAGACAAAACUUUCUGACAGAAAUUUUGGAAAAAUUCCUUCUUGGAAAUGUGGUAACCCCUGUGAUAAACAGAGCAUCAGCAAUGAAAGUAAAACAAGAACAUUAAGCAUUUGUGGUCUACUCAUUAUGGAGAGGAGAAGAAAAAAAGGAAAAAAUGGAAAAAAGGAGAUCACACUUCUGGGAUUGUAAGAUUGCUAGAAGGAGCUGACUGUAAAAAGGAACCUAAAGAUCUGGCAAUUUAUAAGAAGUGACCACUUCUCCUUUAGGGGCUGUCAUCAUAUUCUGAUUUACUGAGACUAUAUCAGACUAGAAAUAAGCCCUCUACAAUAGUUCCUCUCUUUGUUAGAAUCACCAGUAAAAAAAUAGUGAUUUUCCAUGUCCAUUCUAGUAGUUAGUUGUAACUCAGUGUUUGUAAAUGCUUCAUAAGCCAGAAAUUCCAGGAAUUGCCUCAGAAUCCAUUUGCAUUACCCUUUGUAUCAUACAACAUUGUUUCCCAGUUUCACCCCCUUAAAAAUAACACUGUGCACAGUCCAACAAUUUGCUUUUUUCAUAUGAAU